GAUGAACGCUAGCGGCAGGCCUAAUACAUGCAAGUCGAACGGAUAUAUGUUUUUCGGAAUAUAUAUUAGUGGCGCACGGGUGAGUAACACGUACAUAACUUGCCCUCAAGCGGGGGAUAGCCUUGGGAAACUGAGAGUAAUACCCCAUAGAAUUAUUGGACGGCAUCGUUUGAUAAUUAAAACUACGGUGCUUGGGGAUAGAUGUGCGUCUGAUUAGCUAGUUGGUGAGGUAACUGCUCACCAAGGCGACGAUCAGUAGGGGGCGUGAGAGCGUGGCCCCCCACACGGGUACUGAGACACGGACCCGACUCCUACGGGAGGCAGCAGUAAGGAAUAUUGGUCAAUGGAGGGAACUCUGAACCAGCCAUGCCGCGUGAAGGAUGACGGCCCUCUGGGUUGUAAACUUCUUUUGGAUUGGGGGCGAAAAAACGGGUUUAUCCUGGACUGACGGUACCAUCAGAAUAAGCACCGGCUAACUCCGUGCCAGCAGCCCGCGGUAAAAACCCCGAGAGUA
This 514-nucleotide ribosomal RNA is filed under the name uncultured bacterium. Its description in RNAcentral is "bacterial SSU rRNA". It matches the Rfam family "Bacterial small subunit ribosomal RNA", at positions 28 to 534 of the family's 1533-position model. The record is from RNAcentral.